UGGUCUGUCUACAGAGACCAGAUGUUUUUUACAGUGUGUUCUGGGGACAGGCAGCUAGCAGAUAGUGAGGAGAUGUUUUUUACAGUGUGUGUGGGACGGCAGCAAAGCAGAUAGUGAGCAGAUGUUUCUUACAGUGUGUGUGGGACAGGCAGCUAGCAGAUUGAGGAGAUGUUUUUACAUGUUUUGUGGGACAGGCAGCUACAGAUAGUGAGGGGAUGUUUUACAGUGUGUUGUGGGGACAGGCACU
Etheostoma spectabile (orangethroat darter) is the source of this 247-nucleotide long non-coding RNA. RefSeq lists it as uncharacterized. The record is from RefSeq and is a predicted model, not a curated record. NCBI's taxonomy places the organism in Eukaryota, Metazoa, Chordata, Actinopteri, Perciformes, Percidae. The transcript is spliced from 3 exons.